This 426-nucleotide ribosomal RNA is filed under the name uncultured bacterium. Its description in RNAcentral is "bacterial SSU rRNA". It matches the Rfam family "Bacterial small subunit ribosomal RNA", at positions 28 to 454 of the family's 1533-position model. The record is from RNAcentral.
GACGAACGCUGGCGGCGUGCUUAACACAUGCAAGUCGAACGGAAAGGCUCCUGCUUGCAGGGGUACUCGAGUGGCGAACGGGUGAGUAACACGUGGGUGAUCUGCCUUGUACUCUGGGAUAAGCUUGGGAAACUGGGUCUAAUACCGGAUAGUAGCCGCCUUUAGUGUGGUGGUUGGAAAGUUUUUUCGGUGCAAGAUGAGCUCGCGGCCUAUCAGCUUGUUGGUGGGGUAAUGGCCUACCAAGGCGUCGACGGGUAGCCGGCCUGAGAGGGUGUACGGCCACAUUGGGACUGAGAUACGGCCCAGACUCCUACGGGAGGCAGCAGUGGGGAAUAUUGCACAAUGGGCGGAAGCCUGAUGCAGCGACGCCGCGUGGGGGAUGACGGCCUUCGGGUUGUAAACUCCUUUCGACAGGGACGAAGCUUU